RNAcentral lists this long non-coding RNA (971 nucleotides) under Callithrix jacchus (white-tufted-ear marmoset). RNAcentral's name for it is "lncRNA (ENSCJAG00000063076.2)". The record is from RNAcentral. Lineage: Eukaryota; Metazoa; Chordata; Mammalia; Primates; Cebidae.
CUCACAUCCAGGGUACUGUCACAAACGAAAGUUAACUUGUUCACCUGUUCCGUUGCCUAUUGUCUGUCUGCUCUAUGAGAAUAUAAGCUCCAUGAGGGCCCUCUGUCUUGUCUGCAACUAGAGUGCCCCCUAGCACAUGGUAGGUGUUCAGUUAAAUUCUUGUGAAGUAAAUCAAUCAAUAGGGAACACAGUACGUUUCAAUAAAUGUUAGCUUUGUUCCUUACCCUGACUCACCGUGUCGUUUUUACCUUUUUUCUUUAGCCUGGGUUCCACCAGAGUGAAGCAGAGAAGCCCAGACCAUGUGGCCUGUCUUACGAAUCUCUAACCCUUGACAUCUUGAGCCUAUGCUGUCUCCGGUUAAACUGAGGCAUCUAGAGAGGCUGUUCCAGCACCUUUUAUUGAAAAGACAUACUUUUGGGGAGGACUCAAGAUGGCGCUGUGAGAACAACCCAGGAUUGGAGCUCUCAUUGAAUCCGCAAAGAGGUGAGUCCGAGCUGCAUUUUUAGACUGAUCUUUGUUGCCCACAGAACGGGGAAACUCCCAAGUAUAGAAAAGACACGGGACGCCAGGCAGUAAGUCUGCCUGGCGAAGCCGGCAGCCGGGGCGGCGGCGGCCAGCCCUACCCAGCAAUCCCCACAGGGUGCGCUUGUCCGGGUGCCCUGUUGAACCAGCAACCUGAGACUUGAGAGGGCUGGACUUGAGACUGAACGAGACUUGGACAGUAGGCCAGCCCAGGGGAUUGCAGGGACAGAGCGUUCGGGAUACCCAGUGGGACGAACAAAACCGCGAUUUCAAACUAUCCCGAGCAGACGGUCCAAGACGCUCUGUGGGGGAGGGGAAUCCACCACUACCGAGGCAACCUGCCCCAACUGAGAUACACGCCCACUGCUGACGCAGCCAGCCGUUGCCGAGGCAACCCGUCCCUACUGAGAUACACACCCACGCGGACGCAGCCUCCCGUUGCCGAGGCA